CCUACGGGAGGCAGCAGUGAGGAAUAUUGGUCAAUGGACGAGAGUCUGAACCAGCAAAGUAGCGUGAAUGAUGAAGGUCCUAAGGGUUGUAAACUUCUUUUAUAUGGGAAUAAAAUGUUCCGCUCGUGUGAUUAUGUAUGUACCAUAUGAAUAAGCAUCGGCUAACUCCGUGCCAGCAGCCGCGGUAAUACGGCGGAUCCAAGCGUUAUCCGGAUUUAUUUGGUUUAAAGGGAGCGUAGGUGGAUUGUUAAGUCAGUUGUGAAAGUUUGCGGCUCAACCGUAGAAUUGCAGUUGAAACUGGCAGUCUUGAGUACAGUAGAGGUGGGCGGAAUGCGUGGUGUAGCGGUGAAAUGCGUAGAUAUGACGAAGAACUCCGAUUGCGAAGGCAGCUUACUGGACUGCAACUGACACUGAGGCUCGAAAGUGUGGGUAUCAAACAGGAUUAGAUACCCGUGUAGUC
Molecule: ribosomal RNA, 460 nt
Filed under: uncultured bacterium
Lineage: Bacteria
Description: partial 16S ribosomal RNA
Rfam family: Bacterial small subunit ribosomal RNA
Source: RNAcentral